Molecule: transfer RNA, 74 nt
Filed under: Candidatus Allofontibacter lacus
Lineage: Bacteria; Pseudomonadati; Pseudomonadota; Alphaproteobacteria; Candidatus Pelagibacterales; Candidatus Pelagibacteraceae
Description: tRNA-Asp
Rfam family: tRNA
About the family: Transfer RNA (tRNA) molecules are approximately 80 nucleotides in length. Their secondary structure includes four short double-helical elements and three loops (D, anti-codon, and T loops).
Source: RNAcentral
GGGGGUGUAGCUCAGCUUGGUUAGAGCGCCUGCCUGUCACGCAGGAGGCCGCGGGUUCGAGUCCCGUCACUCCC